This 253-nucleotide ribosomal RNA is filed under the name uncultured bacterium. Its description in RNAcentral is "partial 16S ribosomal RNA". It matches the Rfam family "Bacterial small subunit ribosomal RNA", at positions 524 to 776 of the family's 1533-position model. The record is from RNAcentral.
UACGGAGGGUGCAAGCGUUGUUCGGAAUUAUUGGGCGUAAAGGGCGCGUAGGCGGCAUGGCAAGUCAGAUGUGAAAGCCCCGGGCUUAACUCGGGAACUGCAUCUGAAACUGCUUUGCUUGAGUCCUGGAGGGGGUAGUGGAAUUCCCAGUGUAGCGGUGAAAUGCGUAGAUAUUGGGAGGAACACCGGCGGCGAAGGCGGCUACCUGGACAGUGACUGACGCUGAGGCGCGAAAGCUAGGGGAGCAAACGGG